Fopius arisanus is the source of this 1196-nucleotide long non-coding RNA. RefSeq lists it as uncharacterized. The record is from RefSeq and is a predicted model, not a curated record. NCBI's taxonomy places the organism in Eukaryota, Metazoa, Arthropoda, Insecta, Hymenoptera, Braconidae. The transcript is spliced from 6 exons.
GCGAGAGGGUUAUGCGCGCGUGCGGAUCUCAGUUGUGCCCGGGCAUUUAUACACACUGAGAAAUGCAGUUGGUUUGUGAAUUCGCCAGGCGUUAUGGUGGUGGCGAUAAACACACCUUUGGCAUCACCAAACUAUUGGUGUGUGUGUGUGUAUGUGUGUGUGCAUUACCCUACUAUGUUGUCUCGCAACACUGCACCUGACCAGACCGCCGCUAAAUUCCUUAUUCAGGUCAAUAAUUUCAGGUGCACUGCUGCUGGUACCGUGGAAUUUCUCAGGAGCAAUUACAUAUCAUUUAUUUCUCUGAAAGACAUCUCAUUACUGACAAAUUAACGUUCCAACCUGAUGGCCCAAAUUGUGGUUGAGAUACCCGGCAAACGUCAAACACCACACAUCCCUACUACAGAUGGUGAUCAUUGGGAGGAGAAAAAGAUAUAUAUAUUCCGUGGAGUAGUUGAAAAAGGCCCAGUGAUUUUGGGUCAGUAGUUCUCCAGAAGCGAUGAAAAACUUGUCGCGUUAAAUUUUCGAAAUAUCUCGGUGACUAUCGAGUCGAAACGACUGUUCCUCUUUCAAAGUCAAAACCAAGUUCACGUUUGAAUACAUUGCCCUCCUAAAGACGGAGAGUUGUUCAUGAAUAAAGAACAAUGUGACUUGAGUUAAAUUGAUAAUACCUCGUUCCAGCGAUAUUUCCGUGUUAUCGAAAAUAAAUCUCGACAUUUCCCAGGAAGAGGUGGAGAGAGAAGAGGGAUAAAUGACGAGGAAAAAAAAAAAGGAGAAAUGGAUAAGACGCCGAACGGAGGAUGAGGAGGAAGAGACUCGUUUAAUGACCCUGUUUGUGCUUGGCCCCAAAGUUCAUCAACUUCAGACGCAAUGGAAAUGCGCCUCCUCGAUAUUAUUCUCUCCACCUCCCCCUUUCGAAACCAGAAGAUUCCACUUGGCCAGUGAUUGCAACUUGUCCCAAAAAAGGAGAAAACAAUUUCGAGGAUAAUUGCAGUGACCAAGGCCGAAAUCACAUGGUAUGAACUCCUCGGUCAGGAGCAACAGACGGGCGGCAAUAUUUAUCAGUAUGAAGGAGGGGGGAAGCCCAAUUAAAUGUAAGCGGUGCCGGAUGAAGAAUGCGAUUCGUUCGUUCCGUUCUGGAUAUCUCUCCCCGCGAAAAGAAGCCACUCCGUUGAAAUAAGUGCACAAUGUAUGUGUCU